RNAcentral lists this ribosomal RNA (283 nucleotides) under uncultured soil bacterium. RNAcentral describes it as "partial 16S ribosomal RNA". It matches the Rfam family "Bacterial small subunit ribosomal RNA", at positions 26 to 337 of the family's 1533-position model. The record is from RNAcentral.
AGAACGAACGCUGGCGGCAUGCCUAAUACAUGCAAGUCGAACGGACUCUUCGGAGUUAGUGGCGCACGGGUGCGUAACGCGUGGGAAUCUGCCCUUGGGUUCGGAAUAACAGUUGGAAACGACUGCUAAUACCGGAUGAUGACGAAAGUCCAAAGAUUUAUCGCCCAGGGAUGAGCCCGCGUAGGAUUAGCUAGUUGGUGAGGUAAAGGCUCACCAAGGCGACGAUCCUUAGCUGGUCUGAGAGGAUGAUCAGCCACACUGGGACUGAGACACGGCCCAGACU